Molecule: ribosomal RNA, 466 nt
Filed under: uncultured bacterium
Lineage: Bacteria
Description: partial 16S ribosomal RNA
Rfam family: Bacterial small subunit ribosomal RNA
Source: RNAcentral
GACGAACGCUGGCGGCGUGCUUAACACAUGCAAGUCGAACGGAAAGGCCUCUUUCGGGGGGUACUCGAGUGGCGAACGGGUGAGUAACACGUGAGUAACCUGCCCUUUACUUUGGGAUAACUUCAGGAAACUGGGGCUAAUACCGGAUAGGAGCUCCUGCUGCAUGGUGGGGGUUGGAAAGUUUCGGCGGUGGGGGAUGGGCUCGCGGCUUGUCAGCUCGUUGGUGGGGUGGUGGCUUACCAGGGCUUUGACGGGUAGCCGGCGAGGGAGGGUGACCGGCCUGGGAGGGAGAGAGGGACGACCCACCUUCGUGCGGGAGCAGGGGGGGAGAAUUAUUGCCGGGCGGGGGGAAGCCGGAGCCAGGCCGCGCGUGGGAGGAAGGCCGUCCUGUGGUUGAUAGCCCUUUUUCGGGAAGAACGGAGUUUUGUGGACGGUAAGUGGAGAAAAAGGCCCGGCUAACUACGUG